RNAcentral lists this ribosomal RNA (387 nucleotides) under uncultured bacterium. RNAcentral describes it as "bacterial SSU rRNA". It matches the Rfam family "Bacterial small subunit ribosomal RNA", at positions 30 to 417 of the family's 1533-position model. The record is from RNAcentral.
AUUGAACGCUGGCGGCAUGCCUUACACAUGCAAGUCGAACGGUAACGCGGGGGCAACCCUGGCGACGAGUGGCGAACGGGUGAGUAAUACAUCGGAACAUAUCCAGUAGCGGGGGAUAACCUAUCGAAAGAUUGGCUAAUACCGCAUACGAUCUACGGAUGAAAGCAGGGGACCGCAAGGCCUUGCACUAUUGGAGUGGCCGAUGUCAGAUUAGCUAGUUGGUGGGGUAUAAGCCUACCAAGGCGACGAUCUGUAGCUGGUCUGAGAGGACGAUCAGCCACACUGGAACUGAGACACGGUCCAGACUCCUACGGGAGGCAGCAGUGGGGAAUUUUGGACAAUGGGGGCAACCCUGAUCCAGCAAUGCCGCGUGAGUGAAGAAGGCCU